Molecule: ribosomal RNA, 715 nt
Filed under: Sphaerospora truttae
Lineage: Eukaryota; Metazoa; Cnidaria; Myxozoa; Bivalvulida; Sphaerosporidae
Description: bacterial SSU rRNA
Rfam family: Eukaryotic small subunit ribosomal RNA
Source: RNAcentral
AAAGACUAAGCCAUGCAUGUCUNAGUUCAUACCUCUAUAGGGUGAAACUGCGAAUUGCUCAGUAAAUCAGUUAUCGUUUAUUUGAUUGUACCGAAGCCCUUACAGGCUUCACACUGGAUAACUGUGGGAAACUAGAGCUAAUACAUGUCAACUGCUAUCUCGGGGUAGCGUGCAUUUAUUCGCCUAGAAAACCAACGCGUUGUAAGCUAGUCACCAGCAUAACUCUUGUGACAACGGCUACCACGCUCAUGGUGAUUCUGAAUAACUGAUGCUGAUCGUACAAGCUUUCUGUGCCUACGAUAUUUCAAUCAAAUUUCUGCCCUAUCAUACUCGUUGGUAGUGUAGUGGACUACCAAGGUGACGACGGGUAACGGGGAAUCAGGGUUCGAUUCCGGAGAGGGAGCCUGAGAAACGGCUACCACAUCCAAGGAUGGCAGCAGGCGCGCAAACUAUCCAAUCCAGAUAAUGGGAGAUGGUGAAAGAGACCUAUUGGAACUCAUCGGGUUUGCCGGUCGAGUUACCCGAUAGACCAGAUACAUAGUGAAAUAACAACGGGAGGGCAAGUCUGGUGCCAGCAGCCGCGGUAAUUCCAGCUCCCGUGGUGUAUAUGUANGUUGUUGCGGUUAAAAAGCUCGUAGUUGGAAUACGGUGCGUGCGAAAGAUGGUGUACCGAAUGCGUGUAUNNGAGAUCGGUCUCAGCCCUUCUGUGAUGGCU